This 68-nucleotide transfer RNA is filed under the name Capra hircus (goat). It matches the Rfam family "tRNA". Rfam says of the family: Transfer RNA (tRNA) molecules are approximately 80 nucleotides in length. Lineage: Eukaryota; Metazoa; Chordata; Mammalia; Artiodactyla; Bovidae. The record is from Rfam by way of RNAcentral. RNAcentral also lists the same sequence under 1 other name.
UGCUGGCUCAGAUAGCAAAGAAUCUGCCUGCAAUGCAGGAGACCCAGGUUCAAUCCCUGGGUCAGCAA